CCAAAGGUCCUUUUAAGGGCCACCCACUUUUGCACAGGAAGAGCUG
Molecule: non-coding RNA, 46 nt
Organism: Chelonia mydas (Green sea turtle)
Lineage: Eukaryota; Metazoa; Chordata; Testudines; Cheloniidae
Source: Rfam